This 64-nucleotide transfer RNA is filed under the name Diaphanosoma dubium. RNAcentral's name for it is "tRNA-His". The record is from RNAcentral. Lineage: Eukaryota; Metazoa; Arthropoda; Branchiopoda; Diplostraca; Sididae.
GUUAAUGUAGUUUAAAAAAAACUUAGAUUUGUGGUGUCUAGAAUACUUUCAAAAGUCAUUAACC